GACAGAGGGGGCAAGCGUUGCUCGGAAUUACUGGGCGUAAAGGGCGCGUAGGCGGGAUGGCAAGUCGGUCGUGAAAUCCCUCGGCUCAACUGAGGAUCGUCGAUCGAUACUGCCGUUCUUGAGGAUUGCAGAGGAGACUGGAAUUCCCGGUGUAGCGGUGAAAUGUGUAGAGAUCGGGAGGAACACCGGUGGCGAAGGCGGGUCUCUGGGCAAUUCCUGACGCUGAGGCGCGAAAGCUGGGGGAGCAAACGGG
RNAcentral lists this ribosomal RNA (253 nucleotides) under uncultured bacterium. RNAcentral's name for it is "partial 16S ribosomal RNA". It matches the Rfam family "Bacterial small subunit ribosomal RNA", at positions 524 to 776 of the family's 1533-position model. The record is from RNAcentral.